This 421-nucleotide ribosomal RNA is filed under the name uncultured Methanoculleus sp. RNAcentral describes it as "bacterial SSU rRNA". It matches the Rfam family "Archaeal small subunit ribosomal RNA", at positions 322 to 747 of the family's 1478-position model. Lineage: Archaea; Methanobacteriati; Methanobacteriota; Methanomicrobia; Methanomicrobiales; Methanomicrobiaceae. The record is from RNAcentral.
CCUACGGGAUGCAGCAGGCGCGAAAACUUUACAAUGCGGGCAACCGUGAUAAGGGAACCUCGAGUGCCUGUACAUGCAGGCUGUCUGGGUGUCUAAAACACACCCAAAGAAAGGGCCGGGCAAGACCGGUGCCAGCCGCCGCGGUAAUACCGGCGGCUCGAGUGGUGGCCACUUUUAUUGGGCUUAAAGCGUUCGUAGCUGGGUUGUUAAGUCUCUUGGGAAAUCCGGCGGCUUAACCGUCGGGCGUCUAAGAGAUACUGGCAAUCUUGGAACCGGGAGAGGUGAGGGGUACUUCGGGGGUAGGAGUGAAAUCCUGUAAUCCUCGAGGGACCACCUGUGGCGAAGGCGCCUCACCAGAACGGCUUCGACAGUGAGGGACGAAAGCUGGGGGAGCAAACCGGAUUAGAUACCCGCGUAGUCC